UACGUAGGGGGCAAGCGUUUGUCCGGAAUCAUUGGGCGUAAAGCGCGCGUAGGCGGCCCGGUAAGUCCGCUGUAAAAGUCCAGGGCUCAACCCUGGAAUGCCGGUGGAUACUGUCGGGCUAGAGUCCGGAAGAGGCGAGUGGAAUUCUUGGUGUAGCGGUGAAAUGCGUAGAUAUCAAGAGGAACACCUGAGGUGAAGACGGGUUGCUAGGCUGACACUGACGCUGAGGCGCGAAAGCCAGGGGAGCAAACGGG
This 254-nucleotide ribosomal RNA is filed under the name uncultured bacterium. RNAcentral describes it as "partial 16S ribosomal RNA". It matches the Rfam family "Bacterial small subunit ribosomal RNA", at positions 524 to 776 of the family's 1533-position model. The record is from RNAcentral.